RNAcentral lists this ribosomal RNA (530 nucleotides) under uncultured organism. RNAcentral describes it as "bacterial SSU rRNA". It matches the Rfam family "Bacterial small subunit ribosomal RNA", at positions 892 to 1424 of the family's 1533-position model. The record is from RNAcentral.
GUGUGAAACUCAAAGGAAUUGACGGGGGCCCGCACAAUCGGUGGAGUAUGUGGUUUAAUUCGAUGCAACGCGAAGUACCUUACCAGGGCUUGACAUGUCCGGAAUCCCGGUGAAAGCUGGGAGUGCCUUCGGGAGCCGGAACACAGAUGGUGCAUGUCUGUCGUCAGCUCGUGUCGUGAGAUGUUGGGUUAAGUCCCGCUACGAGCGCAACCCUCGUCUUUAGUUGCCAGCAUUAAGUUGGGCACUCUAGAGAGACUGCCGGUGACAAACCGGAGGAAGGUGGGGAUGACGUCAAGUCAGCAUGCCCCUUACGCUCUGGUCGACACGCGUACUACAAUGGUCGGGACAGAGGGCAGCGAACCUGCGAAGGCAAGCUAAUCCCAGCAAACUCGGCCUCAGUUCAGAUCGCAGGCUGCAACUCGCCUGCGUGAAGGAGGAAUCGCUAGUAAUCGCCGGUCAGAAUACGCCGCGAAUCCGUUCCCGGGCAUGUACACACCGCCCGUCACACCGUGGAAGCUGNCCACGCCCGA